RNAcentral lists this unclassified non-coding RNA (292 nucleotides) under uncultured Paracoccaceae bacterium. RNAcentral's name for it is "uncultured Rhodobacteraceae bacterium contains 16S-23S intergenic spacer region". The record is from RNAcentral. Lineage: Bacteria; Pseudomonadati; Pseudomonadota; Alphaproteobacteria; Rhodobacterales; Paracoccaceae. RNAcentral also lists the same sequence under 1 other name.
GGACUACAAGGGUUUCUAAUCCUGUUUGCUCCCCACGCUUUCGCACCUCAGCGUCAGUAUCGAGCCAGUGAGCCGCCUUCGCCACUGGUGUUCCUCCGAAUAUCUACGAAUUUCACCUCUACACUCGGAAUUCCACUCACCUCUCUCGACCUCAAGAACAGGAGUUUCAAAGGCAGUUCCAAGGUUGAGCCCUGGGAUUUCACCUCUGACUUUCUGUUCCGCCUACGUGCGCUUUACGCCCAGUAAUUCCGAACAACGCUAGCCCCCUCCGUAUUACCGCGGCGGCUGGCAC